UACGGAGGGGGCUAGCGUUGUUCGGAAUUACUGGGCGUAAAGCGCACGUAGGCGGAACAGAAAGUCAGAGGUGAAAUCCCAGGGCUCAACCUUGGAACUGCCUUUGAAACUCCUGUUCUUGAGGUCGAGAGAGGUGAGUGGAAUUCCGAGUGUAGAGGUGAAAUUCGUAGAUAUUCGGAGGAACACCAGUGGCGAAGGCGGCUCACUGGCUCGAUACUGACGCUGAGGUGCGAAAGCGUGGGGAGCAAACAGG
RNAcentral lists this ribosomal RNA (253 nucleotides) under uncultured bacterium. RNAcentral's name for it is "partial 16S ribosomal RNA". It matches the Rfam family "Bacterial small subunit ribosomal RNA", at positions 524 to 776 of the family's 1533-position model. The record is from RNAcentral.